GGCUAGUCCGAGUGCAGUGGUGUUUACAACUAAUUGAUCACAACCAGUUACAGAUUUCUUUGUUCCUUCUCCACUUCCACUACUUCACUUGACUAGUCUUUA
RNAcentral lists this Y RNA (102 nucleotides) under Aotus nancymaae (Ma's night monkey). RNAcentral's name for it is "Y RNA (ENSANAG00000005001.1)". It matches the Rfam family "Y RNA". Rfam says of the family: Y RNAs are components of the Ro ribonucleoprotein particle (Ro RNP), in association with Ro60 and La proteins. The Y RNAs and Ro60 and La proteins are well conserved, but the function of the Ro RNP is not known. The record is from Rfam by way of RNAcentral. Lineage: Eukaryota; Metazoa; Chordata; Mammalia; Primates; Aotidae.